This 484-nucleotide ribosomal RNA is filed under the name uncultured bacterium. Its description in RNAcentral is "partial 16S ribosomal RNA". It matches the Rfam family "Bacterial small subunit ribosomal RNA", at positions 28 to 523 of the family's 1533-position model. The record is from RNAcentral.
GAUGAACGCUGGCGGCGUGCUUAACACAUGCAAGUCGAACGGUGAAGCAGGAGCUUGCUCUUGUGGAUCAGUGGCGAACGGGUGAGUAACACGCGAGCAACCUGCCCCUGACUCUGGGAUAAGCGCUGGAAACGGCGUCUAAUACUGGAUAUGUGAUGUGACCGCAUGGUCUGCAUCUGGAAAGAAUUUCGGUUGGGGAUGGGCUCGCGGCCUAUCAGCUUGUUGGUGAGGUAAUGGCUCACCAAGGCGUCGACGGGUAGCCGGCCUGAGAGGGUGACCGGCCACACUGGGACUGAGACACGGCCCAGACUCCUACGGGAGGCAGCAGUGGAGAAUAUUGCACAAUGGGCGGAAGCCUGAUGCAGCAACGCCGCGUGAAGGAUGACGGCCUUCGGGUUGUAAACCUCUUUUAGCAGGGAAGAAGCGAAAGUGACGGUACCUGCAGAAAAAGCACCGGCUAACUACGUGCCAGCCGCCGCCGUAA